RNAcentral lists this ribosomal RNA (999 nucleotides) under Liquorilactobacillus mali. Its description in RNAcentral is "bacterial SSU rRNA". It matches the Rfam family "Bacterial small subunit ribosomal RNA", at positions 60 to 1032 of the family's 1533-position model. The record is from RNAcentral. Lineage: Bacteria; Bacillati; Bacillota; Bacilli; Lactobacillales; Lactobacillaceae.
AGUCGAACGCAUAACUUUCACCGAAUGCUUGCAUUCACCGAAAGUUUUGAGUGGCGAACGGGUGAGUAACACGUGGGUAACCUGCCCAGAAGAGGGGGAUAACACUUGGAAACAGGUGCUAAUACCGCAUAACAAUAAAAACCGCAUGGUUUUUAUUUAAAAGAUGGUUUUGCUAUCACUUCUGGAUGGACCCGCGGCGUAUUAGCUAGUUGGUAGGGUAAAGGCUUACCAAGGCAAUGAUACGUAGCCGAACUGAGAGGUUGAUCGGCCACAUUGGGACUGAGACACGGCCCAAACUCCUACGGGAGGCAGCAGUAGGGAAUCUUCCACAAUGGACGAAAGUCUGAUGGAGCAACGCCGCGUGAGUGAAGAAGGUUUUCGGAUCGUAAAACUCUGUUGUUAGAGAAGAACGUGUGUGAGAGUAACUGUUCAUGCAGUGACGGUAUCUAACCAGAAAGCCACGGCUAACUACGUGCCAGCAGCCGCGGUAAUACGUAGGUGGCAAGCGUUGUCCGGAUUUAUUGGGCGUAAAGGGAACGCAGGCGGUUUUUUAAGUCUGAUGUGAAAGCCUUCGGCUUAACCGAAGUCAUGCAUUGGAAACUGAAAGACUUGAGUGCAGAAGAGGAGAGUGGAACUCCAUGUGUAGCGGUGAAAUGCGUAGAUAUAUGGAAGAACACCAGUGGCGAAAGCGGCUCUCUGGUCUGUAACUGACGCUGAGGUUCGAAAGUGUGGGUAGCAAACAGGAUUAGAUACCCUGGUAGUCCACACCGUAAACGAUGAAUGCUAAGUGUUGGAGGGUUUCCGCCCUUCGGUGCUGCAGCUAACGCAUUAAGCAUUCCGCCUGGGGAGUACGACCGCAAGGUUGAAACUCAAAGGAAUUGACGGGGGCCCGCACAAGCGGUGGAGCAUGUGGUUUAAUUCGAAGCAACGCGAGAACCUUACCAGGUCUUGACAUCUUCUGACAGCCUAAGAGAUUAGUGUUCCCUUCGGGGACAGAAU